This 464-nucleotide ribosomal RNA is filed under the name uncultured bacterium. Its description in RNAcentral is "partial 16S ribosomal RNA". It matches the Rfam family "Bacterial small subunit ribosomal RNA", at positions 28 to 507 of the family's 1533-position model. The record is from RNAcentral.
GAUGAACGCUGGCGGCGUGCUUAACACAUGCAAGUCGAACGGAAAGGCUCCUGCUUGCAGGGGUACUCGAGUGGCGAACGGGUGAGUAACACGUGGGUGAUCUGCCCUGCACUUCGGGAUAAGCCUGGGAAACUGGGUCUAAUACCGGAUAGGACGAUGGUUUGGAUGCCAUUGUGGAAAGUUUUUCGGUGUGGGAUGAGCUCGCGGCCUAUCAGCUUGUUGGUGGGGUAUGGCCUACCAAGGCGUCGACGGGUAGCCGGCCUGAGAGGGUGUACGGCCACAUUGGGACUGAGAUACGGCCCAGACUCCUACGGGAGGCAGCAGUGGGGAAUAUUGCACAAUGGGCGCAAGCCUGAUGCAGCGACGCCGCGUGGGGGAUGACGGCCUUCGGGUUGUAAACUCCUUUCGCUAGGGACGAAGCGCAAGUGACGGUACCUGGAGAAGAAGCACCGGCUAACUACGUG